This 439-nucleotide ribosomal RNA is filed under the name Eubranchus sp. 'Amphorina' 1 TK-2019. Its description in RNAcentral is "partial large subunit ribosomal RNA". It matches the Rfam family "Bacterial large subunit ribosomal RNA", at positions 1824 to 2597 of the family's 2925-position model. Lineage: Eukaryota; Metazoa; Mollusca; Gastropoda; Nudibranchia; Eubranchidae. The record is from RNAcentral.
AGCCAGAGGAAGGUAUUUUUGGUUUAACCUGCCCAAUGUAUUAUUGUAUGAAUGGCCGCGGUACCCUGACCGUGCUAAGGUAGCGUAAUCAGUUGGCUUUUAAAUGGAGUCAGGUAUGAAUGGGAUAACCGGGCUUAGCUGUCUCAAAGACAUUUAUUUGAAUUUACUGUUCAAGUGAAAAAGCUUGACGUAAGAAAAGGGACGAGAAGACCCUUAGAAUUUUGUUUAAAGAGGAUUAUCUCCUCUAUGAUUUUGUUGGGGCGACAGAGAAAUAAUUAAAACUUUCUUUAAAUUAAUCAGUCGGAAUUUUCAGGUUAGGAUAAAUUACCUGAGGGAUAACAGCAUAAUUUUAUAAAUAAGUUUGUGACCUCGAUGUUGGACUAGGAAGCUAAUGGGUUAGCUGCUCAUUGUGCGGAUUCUGUUCGAAUUUUAACUCCUA